This 61-nucleotide transfer RNA is filed under the name Haplodontium reticulatum. RNAcentral describes it as "partial tRNA-Leu". The record is from RNAcentral. Lineage: Eukaryota; Viridiplantae; Streptophyta; Bryopsida; Bryales; Bryaceae.
CGUCGGACUUGAAAAUCCGUUGGCUUUAUUGACCGUGAGGGKUCAAGUCCCUCUACCCCCA